This 433-nucleotide ribosomal RNA is filed under the name uncultured bacterium. RNAcentral's name for it is "bacterial SSU rRNA". It matches the Rfam family "Bacterial small subunit ribosomal RNA", at positions 29 to 507 of the family's 1533-position model. The record is from RNAcentral.
AACGAACGCUGGCGGCAUGCCUAACACAUGCAAGUCGAACGAAGGCUUCGGCCUUAGUGGCGCACGGGUGCGUAACGCGUGGGAACCUGCCCCUCGGUUCGGAAUAACAGUUAGAAAUGACUGGCUAAUACCGGAUGAUGACUUCGGUCCAAAGAUUUAUCGCCGAGGGAUGGGCCCGCGUAGGAUUAGCUAGUUGGUGGGUAAAGGCCUACCAAGGCGACGAUCCUUAGCUGGUCUGAGAGGAUGAUCAGCCACACUGGGACUGAGACACGGCCCAGACUCCUACGGGAGGCAGCAGUGGGGAAUAUUGGACAAUGGGCGAAAGCCUGAUCCAGCAAUGCCGCGUGAGUGAUGAAGGCCUUAGGGUUGUAAAGCUCUUUUACCAGGGAUGAUAAUGACAGUACCUGGAGAAUAAGCUCCGGCUAACUCCGUG